Molecule: transfer RNA, 65 nt
Filed under: Niponiella limbatella
Lineage: Eukaryota; Metazoa; Arthropoda; Insecta; Plecoptera; Perlidae
Description: tRNA-Gly
Source: RNAcentral
AUUUAUUUAAUAUAAAAAGUAUAUCUGACUUCCAAUCAGAAUGUCUGAACACUUCAGAAUAAGUA